AACGCACCUUGCGCUCCUUGGUAUUCCGAGGAGCAUGCCCGUUUGAGUGUCUUGAUAUCAUCAAACGCCCCUGCCUUUUCUGGUGGGUCGGCGAUUUGGACUUGGACGUGCUGCCGGGCGCCCUGCGCUCGGCUCGUCUUGAAUGCAUUAGCUGGAAUUCCCCUCGGACCUUAUGGCGUGAUAAGAUCACCCGUCGAGCAGUCCCCGUGGGUUCCGCUUCCAAUCGUCCCCCUGCGGACAACACCGAAACCUGGUUUUCGACAUCUGACCUCAAAUCGGGUAGGACUACCCGCUGAACUUAA
This 302-nucleotide non-coding RNA is filed under the name Boletaceae sp. The record is from RNAcentral. RNAcentral also lists the same sequence under 1 other name. Lineage: Eukaryota; Fungi; Basidiomycota; Agaricomycetes; Boletales; Boletaceae.